This 253-nucleotide ribosomal RNA is filed under the name uncultured prokaryote. Its description in RNAcentral is "partial 16S ribosomal RNA". It matches the Rfam family "Bacterial small subunit ribosomal RNA", at positions 524 to 776 of the family's 1533-position model. The record is from RNAcentral.
UACAGGGGGUGCAAACGUUGCUCGGAAUCAUUGGGCGUAAAGCGCACGUAGGCGGUCUGUUAUGUCGGAUGUGAAAGCCCUCGGCUCAACUGAGGAAGUGCAUCCGAAACUGGCAGGCUAGAGUACUAAAGAGGGUCGCGGAAUUCCCGGUGUAGAGGUGAAAUUCGUAGAGAUCGGGAGGAACACCAGUGGCGAAGGCGGCUACCUGGACCAGCAUUGACACUCAAGCACGAAAGCGUGGGGAGCAAACAGG